RNAcentral lists this ribosomal RNA (467 nucleotides) under uncultured bacterium. RNAcentral describes it as "partial 16S ribosomal RNA". It matches the Rfam family "Bacterial small subunit ribosomal RNA", at positions 28 to 507 of the family's 1533-position model. The record is from RNAcentral.
GACGAACGCUGGCGGCGUGCUUAACACAUGCAAGUCGAACGGAAAGGCCCUGCUUUUGUGGGGUGCUCGAGUGGCGAACGGGUGAGUAACACGUGAGUAACCUGCCCUUGACUUUGGGAUAACUUCAGGAAACUGGGGCUAAUACCGGAUAGGAGCUCCUGCUGCAUGGUGGGGGUUGGAAAGUUUCGGCGGUUGGGGAUGGACUCGCGGCUAUCAGCUUGUUGGUGGGGUAGUGGCUUACCAAGGCUUUGACGGGUAGCCGGCCUGAGAGGGUGACCGGCCACAUUGGGACUGAGAUACGGCCCAGACUCCUACGGGAGGCAGCAGUGGGGAAUAUUGCACAAUGGGCGGAAGCCUGAUGCAGUAACGCCGCGUGCGGGAUGACGGCCUUCGGGUUGUAAACCGCUUUCGCCUGUGACGAAGCGUGAGUGACGGUAAUGGGUAAAGAAGCACCGGCUAACUACGUG